GAUGAACGCUGGCGGCGUGCUUAACACAUGCAAGUCGAACGAUGAAGCACAGCUUGCUGGGUGGAUUAGUGGCGAACGGGUGAGUAACACGUGAGUAACCUGCCCUUAACUCUGGGAUAAGCCUGGGAAACUGGGUCUAAUACCGGAUAGGAGCGCCUACCGCAUGGUGGGUGUUGGAACGAUUAAUCGGUUUUGGAUGGACUCGCGGCCUAUCAGCUUGUUGGUGAGGUAAUGGCACACCAAGGGGACGGCGGGUAGGCCGCCCGGGAGGGUGAACGGGCACCAGGGGACUGCGGGACGGACCAGACUGCUACGGUGGGCAACAGGGGGGAACAUUGCCCAACGGUACCGCGUCGGAGGCAGCGACGUCGCGGUAGGGAAGACCGUCUUUGGGUUGUAAACCUCUUUCAGUAGGGAAGAAGCGAAAGUGACGGUACCUGCAGAAGAAGCACCGGCUAACUACGUG
RNAcentral lists this ribosomal RNA (466 nucleotides) under uncultured bacterium. RNAcentral's name for it is "partial 16S ribosomal RNA". It matches the Rfam family "Bacterial small subunit ribosomal RNA", at positions 28 to 507 of the family's 1533-position model. The record is from RNAcentral.